AGAAAGUAGCCUUUCCCUGCGGAAAGGAGGCCGACGGGAGCGGGGGAGGGGGAGAGCGGUAGUAGCCGGUGGGAUCAGCUCGCGGCAGAAAUGCUUUCCGUGGCCGGGAACUCCGAAGAGCGUGUGUGCAGCAAUGAGCUCGAUCGGUGCAGCUAGUAACAGCCUCCAGUGACAACAGGAUCAGCGCUCUACCACUCCACUCUGCCUGCAGCUUGAUGAACAAGUGAAGUACACUCACAAGGAAGGGCAAUGAGGAAUCAAAGUUACCUCUGCCUAAAGGUAACUUUUAAAAUGUUAUCAUUUGUUGAGGUGUAGAUGUCUAAGAUAAUAGAGCCUGGAAUGCUGAGCCAUCAUGUGGAAGAAAACUGCCCAGAGAGUCAUUAGACCCACAGCAAACUCUGAGCAAGGAAGAAAAUAGAAGAAAAAGUGCCGGAAGCCGGUCCAUCCUUGCUGCUUGACACAGUUGCUG
This is a long non-coding RNA of Myotis brandtii (Brandt's bat), 469 nucleotides long. RefSeq lists it as uncharacterized. The transcript has 3 exons. NCBI's taxonomy places the organism in Eukaryota, Metazoa, Chordata, Mammalia, Chiroptera, Vespertilionidae. The record is from RefSeq and is a predicted model, not a curated record.